This 347-nucleotide ribosomal RNA is filed under the name uncultured eukaryote. Its description in RNAcentral is "partial Bacterial small subunit ribosomal RNA". It matches the Rfam family "Bacterial small subunit ribosomal RNA", at positions 1 to 349 of the family's 1533-position model. The record is from RNAcentral.
AUGGAGAGUUUGAUCCUGGCUCAGGACGAACGCUGGCGGCGUGCUUAACACAUGCAAGUCGAACGGAAAGGCCCUGCUUUUGUGGGGUGCUCGAGUGGCGAACGGGUGAGUAACACGUGAGUAACCUGCCCUUGACUUUGGGAUAACUUCAGGAAACUGGGGCUAAUACCGGAUAGGAGCUCCUGCUGCAUGGUGGGGGUUGGAAAGUUUCGGCGGUUGGGGAUGGACUCGCGGCUUAUCAGCUUGUUGGUGGGGUAGUGGCUUACCAAGGCUUUGACGGGUAGCCGGCCUGAGAGGGUGACCGGCCACAUUGGGACUGAGAUACGGCCCAGACUCCUACGGGAGGC